This is a long non-coding RNA of Nanorana parkeri, 88 nucleotides long. RefSeq lists it as uncharacterized. The record is from RefSeq and is a predicted model, not a curated record. Lineage: Eukaryota; Metazoa; Chordata; Amphibia; Anura; Dicroglossidae. The transcript has 3 exons.
CUUUUGUAAAGCGCUGAUCAAAUUGUUGGCGCUAUAUAAAUCCUGUAUAAUAAUAAUAAUGAUACACAAAAUAGAAAAGGGUUUGGGA